RNAcentral lists this non-coding RNA (29 nucleotides) under Homo sapiens (human). The record is from RNAcentral. Lineage: Eukaryota; Metazoa; Chordata; Mammalia; Primates; Hominidae.
GGAACAGACUGCCUGUUUGCGAUCUGUGA